Molecule: ribosomal RNA, 578 nt
Filed under: uncultured bacterium
Lineage: Bacteria
Description: bacterial SSU rRNA
Rfam family: Bacterial small subunit ribosomal RNA
Source: RNAcentral
CCUACGGGAGGCAGCAGUAGGGAAUAUUGGACAAUGGACGCAAGUCUGAUCCAGCCAUGCCGCGUGCAGGAUGACAGCCCUCUGGGUUGUAAACUGCUUUUAUAUGAGAAGAAACCCUCAGAUGCGUUUGAGGCUGACGGUAUCAUAUGAAUAAGGAUCGGCUAACUUCGUGCCAGCAGCCGCGGUAAGACGAAGGAUCCAAGCGUUGUCCGGAUUUACUGGGUUUAAAGGAUGCGUAGGCGGACACUUAAGCCAGUGGUGAAAUCCCAUAGCUCAACUAUGGAACUGCCAUUGGAACUGUGUGUCUUGAAUUCGGUUGAGGUAGAUGGAAUAUAACAUGUAGCGGUGAAAUGCUUAGAUAUGUUAUAGAACACCGAUUGCGAAGGCAGUCUACUAAGCCGACAUUGACGCUGAGGCAUGAAAGCGUGGGGAGCGAACAGGAUUAGAUACCCUGGUAGUCCACGCCCUAAACGUUGAUUACUCGCUGUUAGCGAUACACUGUUAGCGGCUAAGCGAAAGCGUUAAGUAAUCCACCUGGGAAGUACGACCGCAAGGUUGAAACUCAAAGGAAUUGACGG